GGUUCGGGAGCUUUUCGGUGGGACGAAAAGCAUGAAUGGAACCACAUAACCCCUAUCGCCGUGCGGCGCAUGACAGUGGCCCGACUGUUACGCG
Regulatory RNA element from Pseudorhodobacter antarcticus, 94 nucleotides. It matches the Rfam family "Rhodo-rpoB RNA". Lineage: Bacteria; Pseudomonadati; Pseudomonadota; Alphaproteobacteria; Rhodobacterales; Paracoccaceae. The record is from Rfam.